GACGUAGGGGGCCAGCGUUGCUCGGAAUUACUGGGUGUAAAGGGUUCGUAGGCGGUGUGGCAAGUCGGGAGUGAAAUCUCUGGGCUCAACUCAGGGGCUGCUUCCGAAACUGCCGUGCUAGAGUGUGGGAGAGGCGCGUGGAAUUGCAGGUGUAGCGGUGAAAUGCGUAGAUAUCUGCAGGAACACCCGUGGCGAAAGCGGCGCGCUGGACCACUACUGACGCUGAGGAACGAAAGCUAGGGGAGCAAACGGG
This 253-nucleotide ribosomal RNA is filed under the name uncultured bacterium. Its description in RNAcentral is "partial 16S ribosomal RNA". It matches the Rfam family "Bacterial small subunit ribosomal RNA", at positions 524 to 776 of the family's 1533-position model. The record is from RNAcentral.